AUGUACAUUGUCCAGUACAUUAAUUUCAUAGUAUACACAUUAUUUGUAGAUUCCAGAUAUUUUUUACUUUCGACAGUCAGGGUCUUAGGGACAAUAUGCACUACAAAUGAAUUUAUUCUUUGUGGUAGUGGCAGUGCACUAUGCAUGUUUCCUUUGAUUGUUAUGUCGUGUUUUUUAACCUAUAAAUGUAAUGAACUAUUCAGUACCAUGCCCAUGGAUAAACAUCAUAGAGACACUGCUACCUGGAGUUGCCUGGCAUCAGCCAUCAAGACAGUUAUAGAAUCAACGAGAUGUACCUUGGGAAAUGGAUCCAGAAUCUCCUUCUGGCACGACUGGUGGUUGGACUGUGGAAGGCUGAAAUUCUCUUUCCCAAUUCUCUUCACCUUUGCACAAUCGCCUUAUUGCACUGUUGCCUCGCAGUUCACUGAUGGACAAUGGAACCUCAAGCUACAUCCGAAUUUAACUAUGACAGCCACAAGAGAAAUGGAGGCCUUACUGAUGAUUCUAGUUGGAGUGCAUCCAUCUAUUUCUCACACUGAAACAGAUCAGAGAAACCCUUGUAUGAAAUCUGGAAAGGUCACCACUGCAUUCUUCUAUGAGCUGCUCACGUUCAGGGGGAUCCUUUGCCCAGCUGCUCCAAAAAUAUGGGACACUUUGAUACCCAACAGACAUCGGGUCUUCCUUUGGCUGGCUCUACGAGGUAGACUGAACACAAGAGAUAAUAUUCUCAAAAGAGGCUGGACGUCAAUCACAACACACAAUGGCUGCGACCUGUGCCCUGCAACCGAAAACAGUAGCCAUAUCAUCCUCAGAUGCAGGCUUGCUGAUGCUGUUUGGGAGCGGGCAGGCGUGCAAGACAAGGCAAGAAGCUCCAAUGAUCUCCAGAUUUUUCUACUCGCCACGGAACCCCCUGCAUAUGGCAACCUCUGGCAUAUUGUUUUUGCAGCCUGCGCCGUGUCUCUCUGGUCUGCCAGGAACGAGCAGGUCUUCCAGCACACACGAUGGUCCGCUGGCAAGGUGUUGAGCACGAUUGCAGACCUGCUGCGCCUGUGGAGUAAUCGUGCGAAUAACAAUGAGGAUAGGAUUAAGCUGUGUAAUUUUGCUGCUCUUUUCCAUACCCCUUUUUCUACCUCUUUUUAG
This 1140-nucleotide ribosomal RNA is filed under the name Triticum aestivum (bread wheat). RNAcentral describes it as "partial small subunit ribosomal RNA". Lineage: Eukaryota; Viridiplantae; Streptophyta; Magnoliopsida; Poales; Poaceae. The record is from RNAcentral.